RNAcentral lists this long non-coding RNA (846 nucleotides) under Equus asinus (donkey). RNAcentral describes it as "lncRNA (ENSEASG00005027965.1)". Lineage: Eukaryota; Metazoa; Chordata; Mammalia; Perissodactyla; Equidae. The record is from RNAcentral.
CUCAUUCGCAGUGGUUAUAUUCUACAAAGAUGCUGCAAACGCUGAAUUAAUGAAUACUGAAACUUUUUUGCCAGGAGUUAUAUGGGGUUAGGUUUCUGUAAGCCGCUGGUCACGACAUUUUCAUCAGCUGGUCAACGCAUACCUUGUUUUAUGGGUGUUUCUGUUUAAAGACAUUUUGUUUAAUAUAUGCUGUUGACUCGUUAACAUUGAACUCAAGGCCGACAGCACUAUAACUCUUGCCUGAAGAAAACUUAUCUAGCACACGUAUUUUUUCCAUAAGGCAUAUCGGAGCCUUCUUGUGCUUGAGAACACUAGACGGCACUUCAACACCACACGUGGCGGCCAUUUCAAACAGUGACGUCACCAGCAAACAGCCCAGAAAUGCGAAAAAUGUGGCGCCAAAUAGACGCUCGUUUACAGCGCUAGAGCUGAAACAAGAAGGUGGAGAGCAUCGCCUCGUUCAGCCUCAGCUGGGAACGCACACGUGUCAGGAGGCUCAAAUUUUCGCCACCCCUUGUAUGUGCACAAACAGUGAAAGUGCUUACACGGAAUGAACUCACUCAGCCUCAACGCUCAGGACAGUGCUCUUCAGGGCCCGUCUAUUCCCUGGGUCCCAGAUCCUUGAGCAGUCAACUCAGUCAGGCUGUGAUAAGAAGAGUUGCAUGCCAGAGAGUUUCAUCUCAUUGUCUCUCAACAUCUCCUGGAGUUCCAAGAGUUGCCAUCCAGAUUCUCUCUACCCGGAUCAGCCCCUGCGAGUCCCACGAGUACAGCGGAUGCCUUGGUUUGUGGAUACGUUGAUGUGAUUAUGGCAUUUCAUCACGGAAUAGGCUCAAGAACAGAGCUCAG